RNAcentral lists this transfer RNA (76 nucleotides) under Vibrio parahaemolyticus. RNAcentral's name for it is "tRNA-Thr". It matches the Rfam family "tRNA". From Rfam's summary of the family: Transfer RNA (tRNA) molecules are approximately 80 nucleotides in length. Their secondary structure includes four short double-helical elements and three loops (D, anti-codon, and T loops). The record is from RNAcentral. Lineage: Bacteria; Pseudomonadati; Pseudomonadota; Gammaproteobacteria; Vibrionales; Vibrionaceae.
GCCGACUUAGCUCAGUAGGUAGAGCAACUGACUUGUAAUCAGUAGGUCACGAGUUCGAUUCCGGUAGUCGGCACCA